GCCUUCAUGAAGCCGGAAUUGCUAGUAAUGGCAGGUCAGCAUACUGCCGUGAAUACGUUCCCGGGCCUUGUACACACCGCCCGUCACACCAUGAGAGUUGGGGAUACCCGAAGCCUGUGAGCUAACAGUAAUGAAGCAGCAGUCGAAGGUAGAAUCAAUGAUUGGGGUGAAGUCGUAACAAGGUACC
This 187-nucleotide ribosomal RNA is filed under the name uncultured bacterium. RNAcentral describes it as "partial 16S ribosomal RNA". It matches the Rfam family "Bacterial small subunit ribosomal RNA", at positions 1314 to 1500 of the family's 1533-position model. The record is from RNAcentral.